UGCUAUUUGCCAACCUGAAUCUGAGAAGAAGGUAAACAUAUAUCAUCUCCUUAUAUUAUUGGUAUUUAAAAUUAUCAUACCAAAUAGGAAAUGGGUAUGAUAGAAAACUAAUUUAACCAGAUCAUAUCAUAUCAUAUUAUCGAGUUCAUAGUUGCAUACCAUUGAUUUAAUGGCAAUCGUACUUCUAAAUAGCGCCGCUAUAGAGUCCAGCGCUAUGCCUUAGCCGGAUCUCGGGUGGAUCCUUACCCACAUCCGCCAGAAUAAAAUUAAAAAAUAUAUAUUUUAAAUGUGCUAGGGUUCCUCGAUGGGAUUUUCUUCCCACAGCUCUCUCUUCAGAGACCAGACCACUUCCCACUUUCCUAGAAACCUCCGACAAGCUAUGAUUUGCUCCCUUCCACUCCGAUGACCUCCAGCGAGCUGUUGUUUGGCGACCAGAACUUCGUUUUCUUCUUAUUUUAGCAAUAAACUCAUUUUCUAAAUGUUUCAUGUUCCAUGCUAUAUAUUUUAAUUUUUAAGAUGUUUAAUUUAUAGGUAUUGAUCAUUAUUAAUAAGUAGAAUAUGAAAUAAAAAUAAAACACUAUAGCGGAAUAGCCUCUAUAAUGCUAUAGCGGAAUAGCCUCUAUAAUGCUAUAGCUCUUUUAGCGACAGCUAUGCUGCUUUCCGCUAUUUAGAAGUAUGAUGCCAAUAGGUUUCAAAUGCUAGGUGUCACAUUAUUGAGUAGAUUUUCCACCGGUGAAUAUUCAGAGGUUACAUGAUACUUAUAUGUUACUAGUGGCUCUUCAAAAUCGAACCGUUCAAAGAAAGAGGUUAUGGUUUUAAAGUGGUAUCUUUUUCGAGACGAUAUCAUUUGAUAAAUGUUUGUUAUGUGCUUAUAAGUGUUUGCUUACCAUAUGAGC
RNAcentral lists this long non-coding RNA (896 nucleotides) under Zostera marina. RNAcentral describes it as "long non-coding RNA (ZMAR_LNC001954)". Lineage: Eukaryota; Viridiplantae; Streptophyta; Magnoliopsida; Alismatales; Zosteraceae. The record is from RNAcentral.